RNAcentral lists this ribosomal RNA (480 nucleotides) under uncultured bacterium. Its description in RNAcentral is "bacterial SSU rRNA". It matches the Rfam family "Bacterial small subunit ribosomal RNA", at positions 32 to 507 of the family's 1533-position model. The record is from RNAcentral.
AACGCUGGGCGGCGUGCCUAACACAUGCAAGUCGAGCGGAGUCGAUCGACGGAAGCCUUCGGGCGGAAGAUGGUUGACUUAGCGGCGGAUGGGUGAGUAACGCGUGGGCAACCUGCCUCGAAGACCGGGAUAACAGCCCGAAAGGGCUGCUAAUACCGGAUGUGGUCAAGGAUCCGCAUGGAUUUUUGAUUAAAGGGGAAACCCGUUUCGAGAUGGGCCCGCGUCCUAUCAGCUAGUUGGUGAGGUAAAAGCUCACCAAGGCGACGACGGGUAGCCGGCCUGAGAGGGUGACCGGCCACACUGGAACUGAGACACGGUCCAGACUCCUACGGGGGGCAGCAGUGGGGAAUCUUCCACAAUGGGCGAAAGCCUGAUGGAGCGACGCCGCGUGAGCGAAGAAGGCCUUCGGGUUGUAAAGCUCUGUCUGGAGGGACGAAGGAAGUGACGGUACCUCCGGAGGAAGCCACGGCUAACUACGUG